GGACCGGUGAGUAAUGCCUAGGAAUCUGCCUGGUAGUGGGGGACAACGUUUCGAAAGGAACGCUAAUACCGCAUACGUCCUACGGGAGAAAGCAGGGGACCUUCGGGCCUUGCGCUAUCAGAUGAGCCUAGGUCGGAUUAGCUAGUUGGUGAGGUAAUGGCUCACCAAGGCGACGAUCCGUAACUGGUCUGAGAGGAUGAUCAGUCACACUGGAACUGAGACACGGUCCAGACUCCUACGGGAGGCAGCAGUGGGGAAUAUUGGACAAUGGGCGAAAGCCUGAUCCAGCCAUGCCGCGUGUGUGAAGAAGGUCUUCGGAUUGUAAAGCACUUUAAGUUGGGAGGAAGGGUUGUAGAUUAAUACUCUGCAAUUUUGACGUUACCGACAGAAUAAGCACCGGCUAACUCUGUGCCAGCAGCCGCGGUAAUACAGAGGGUGCAAGCGUUAAUCGGAAUUACUGGGCUUAAAGCGCGCGUAGGUGGUUGGUU
RNAcentral lists this ribosomal RNA (488 nucleotides) under Pseudomonas sp. A3-4. RNAcentral describes it as "bacterial SSU rRNA". It matches the Rfam family "Bacterial small subunit ribosomal RNA", at positions 100 to 584 of the family's 1533-position model. The record is from RNAcentral. Lineage: Bacteria; Pseudomonadati; Pseudomonadota; Gammaproteobacteria; Pseudomonadales; Pseudomonadaceae.